UACGAGCGCCUCGAGCGUUAUCCGGACUUAUUGGGCGUAAAGGGUGCGUAGGUUGUUCUGUUAGUCUUUUGUUAAAUUCUUCCGCUUAACGGGAGAACCGCAAAAGAAACGGCAGAACUUGAAAGUAGGAGAGGUGUACGGAACUCAUGGUGUAGGGGUGAAAUCCGUUGAUAUCAUGGGGAACACCAAAUGCGAAGGCAGUACACUGGCCUAUAUUUGACACUGAAGCACGAAAGCGUGGGUAGCGAAUGGG
Molecule: ribosomal RNA, 253 nt
Filed under: uncultured bacterium
Lineage: Bacteria
Description: partial 16S ribosomal RNA
Rfam family: Bacterial small subunit ribosomal RNA
Source: RNAcentral